Molecule: long non-coding RNA, 341 nt
Organism: Pelobates fuscus (common spadefoot toad)
Lineage: Eukaryota; Metazoa; Chordata; Amphibia; Anura; Pelobatidae
Exons: 3
Source: RefSeq, a predicted model, not a curated record
UAUCUUGGACUCGUCACAAGACAGGGCUAUCUAAGGAGUGAGCAAGCUGGGUUUCGAAGAUUAAAAUACAGAGACUAGUAAUCAUCAUGGACUAUCCUACAGUACUCCUGCUGGUGUUUCUGGUGUUCACCGUAAAUGACUGUAGUGGGGCAAUCUGGGGCUGUGAUAACUUCAUGGGAUAUUGCCGAAUUGCCUGCUUUGCUCGUGAGAAUUCAAUAGGUCCCAAGGACUGUGGAGACGGAUUGGUAUGCUGUGUCCCAAACACAUUCAGAAGACUCUGGUGGAAGCAGUAGAGAAAACGUCUUAUAAUGAGAAAAGUUUUGUUUGUUUGUUGGACUCAA